RNAcentral lists this ribosomal RNA (434 nucleotides) under uncultured bacterium. RNAcentral's name for it is "bacterial SSU rRNA". It matches the Rfam family "Bacterial small subunit ribosomal RNA", at positions 8 to 440 of the family's 1533-position model. The record is from RNAcentral.
AGAGUUUGAUCAUGGCUCAGAUUGAACGCUGGCGGCAGGCUUAACACAUGCAAGUCGAACGGUAACAGAACUAGCUUGCUAGUUGCUGACGAGUGGCGGACGGGUGAGUAACGCGUAGGAAUCUACCGAAUAGUGGGGGACAACAGUUGGAAACGGCUGCUAAUACCGCAUACGCCCUACGGGGGAAAGGAGGGGAUCUUCGGACCUUUCGCUAUUUGAUGAGCCUGCGUGAGAUUAGUUAGUUGGUGGGGUAAUGGCUCACCAAGGCGACGAUCUCUAGCUGGUCUGAGAGGAUGAUCAGCCACACUGGGACUGAGACACGGCCCAGACUCCUACGGGAGNCANCAGUGGGGAAUAUUGCACAAUGGGGGAAACCCUGAUGCAGCCAUGCCGCGUGUGUGAAGAAGGCCUUCGGGUUGUAAAGCACUUUCAGU